UUAAGCGACUAAGCGUACACGGUGGAUGCCCUGGCAGUCAGAGGCGAUGAAGGACGUGCUAAUCUGCGAUAAGCGUCGGUAAGGUGAUAUGAACCGUUAUAACCGGCGAUUUCCGAAUGGGGAAACCCAGUGUGAUUCGUCACACUAUCAUUAACUGAAUCCAUAGGUUAAUGAGGCGAACCGGGGGAACUGAAACAUCUAAGUACCCCGAGGAAAAGAAAUCAACCGAGAUUCCCCCAGUAGCGGCGAGCGAACGGGGAGCAGCCCAGAGCCUGAAUCAGUGUGUGUGUUAGUGGAAGCGUCUGGAAAGGCGCGCGAUACAGGGUGACAGCCCCGUACACAAAAAUGCACAUGCUGUGAGCUCGAUGAGUAGGGCGGGACACGUGGUAUCCUGUCUGAAUAUGGGGGGACCAUCCUCCAAGGCUAAAUACUCCUGACUGACCGAUAGUGAACCAGUACCGUGAGGGAAAGGCGAAAAGAACCCCGGCGAGGGGAGUGAAAAAGAACCUGAAACCGUGUACGUACAAGCAGUGGGAGCACGCUUAGGCGUGUGACUGCGUACCUUUUGUAUAAUGGGUCAGCGACUUAUAUUCUGUAGCAAGGUUAACCGAAUAGGGGAGCCGAAGGGAAACCGAGUCUUAACUGGGCGUUAAGUUGCAGGGUAUAGACCCGAAACCCGGUGAUCUAGCCAUGGGCAGGUUGAAGGUUGGGUAACACUAACUGGAGGACCGAACCGACUAAUGUUGAAAAAUUAGCGGAUGACUUGUGGCUGGGGGUGAAAGGCCAAUCAAACCGGGAGAUAGCUGGUUCUCCCCGAAAGCUAUUUAGGUAGCGCCUCGUGAAUUCAUCUCCGGGGGUAGAGCACUGUUUCGGCAAGGGGGUCAUCCCGACUUACCAACCCGAUGCAAACUGCGAAUACCGGAGAAUGUUAUCACGGGAGACACACGGCGGGUGCUAACGUCCGUCGUGAAGAGGGAAACAACCCAGACCGCCAGCUAAGGUCCCAAAGUCAUGGUUAAGUGGGAAACGAUGUGGGAAGGCCCAGACAGCCAGGAUGUUGGCUUAGAAGCAGCCAUCAUUUAAAGAAAGCGUAAUAGCUCACUGGUCGAGUCGGCCUGCGCGGAAGAUGUAACGGGGCUAAACCAUGCACCGAAGCUGCGGCAGCGACGCUUAUGCGUUGUUGGGUAGGGGAGCGUUCUGUAAGCCUGCGAAGGUGUGCUGUGAGGCAUGCUGGAGGUAUCAGAAGUGCGAAUGCUGACAUAAGUAACGAUAAAGCGGGUGAAAAGCCCGCUCGCCGGAAGACCAAGGGUUCCUGUCCAACGUUAAUCGGGGCAGGGUGAGUCGACCCCUAAGGCGAGGCCGAAAGGCGUAGUCGAUGGGAAACAGGUUAAUAUUCCUGUACUUGGUGUUACUGCGAAGGGGGGACGGAGAAGGCUAUGUUGGCCGGGCGACGGUUGUCCCGGUUUAAGCGUGUAGGCUGGUUUUCCAGGCAAAUCCGGAAAAUCAAGGCUGAGGCGUGAUGACGAGGCACUACGGUGCUGAAGCAACAAAUGCCCUGCUUCCAGGAAAAGCCUCUAAGCAUCAGGUAACAUCAAAUCGUACCCCAAACCGACACAGGUGGUCAGGUAGAGAAUACCAAGGCGCUUGAGAGAACUCGGGUGAAGGAACUAGGCAAAAUGGUGCCGUAACUUCGGGAGAAGGCACGCUGAUAUGUAGGUGAAGUCCCUCGCGGAUGGAGCUGAAAUCAGUCGAAGAUACCAGCUGGCUGCAACUGUUUAUUAAAAACACAGCACUGUGCAAACACGAAAGUGGACGUAUACGGUGUGACGCCUGCCCGGUGCCGGAAGGUUAAUUGAUGGGGUUAGCGCAAGCGAAGCUCUUGAUCGAAGCCCCGGUAAACGGCGGCCGUAACUAUAACGGUCCUAAGGUAGCGAAAUUCCUUGUCGGGUAAGUUCCGACCUGCACGAAUGGCGUAAUGAUGGCCAGGCUGUCUCCACCCGAGACUCAGUGAAAUUGAACUCGCUGUGAAGAUGCAGUGUACCCGCGGCAAGACGGAAAGACCCCGUGAACCUUUACUAUAGCUUGACACUGAACAUUGAGCCUUGAUGUGUAGGAUAGGUGGGAGGCUUUGAAGUGUGGACGCCAGUCUGCAUGGAGCCGACCUUGAAAUACCACCCUUUAAUGUUUGAUGUUCUAACGUGGACCCGUAAUCCGGGUUGCGGACAGUGUCUGGUGGGUAGUUUGACUGGGGCGGUCUCCUCCUAAAGAGUAACGGAGGAGCACGAAGGUUGGCUAAUCCUGGUCGGACAUCAGGAGGUUAGUGCAAUGGCAUAAGCCAGCUUGACUGCGAGCGUGACGGCGCGAGCAGGUGCGAAAGCAGGUCAUAGUGAUCCGGUGGUUCUGAAUGGAAGGGCCAUCGCUCAACGGAUAAAAGGUACUCCGGGGAUAACAGGCUGAUACCGCCCAAGAGUUCAUAUCGACGGCGGUGUUUGGCACCUCGAUGUCGGCUCAUCACAUCCUGGGGCUGAAGUAGGUCCCAAGGGUAUGGCUGUUCGCCAUUUAAAGUGGUACGCGAGCUGGGUUUAGAACGUCGUGAGACAGUUCGGUCCCUAUCUGCCGUGGGCGCUGGAGAAUUGAGGGGGGCUGCUCCUAGUACGAGAGGACCGGAGUGGACGCAUCACUGGUGUUCGGGUUGUCAUGCCAAUGGCACUGCCCGGUAGCUAAAUGCGGAAGAGAUAAGUGCUGAAAGCAUCUAAGCACGAAACUUGCCCCGAGAUGAGUUCUCCCUGACUCCUUGAGAGUCCUGAAGGAACGUUGAAGACGACGACGUUGAUAGGCCGGGUGUGUAAGCGCAGCGAUGCGUUGAGCUAACCGGUACUAAUGAACCGUGAGGCUUAACCUU
This 2902-nucleotide ribosomal RNA is filed under the name Escherichia coli TW10722. Its description in RNAcentral is "bacterial LSU rRNA". It matches the Rfam family "Bacterial large subunit ribosomal RNA". Lineage: Bacteria; Pseudomonadati; Pseudomonadota; Gammaproteobacteria; Enterobacterales; Enterobacteriaceae. The record is from RNAcentral.